GCGUGAGUGAUGAAGGCCUUCGGGUUGUAAAGCUCUUUCACCGAUGAAGAUAAUGACGGUAGUCGGAGAAGAAGCCCCGGCUAACUCCGUGCCAGCAGCCGCGGUAAUACGGAGGGGGCUAGCGUUGUUCGGAAUCACUGGGCGUAAAGCGCACGUAGGCGGAUUUGCAAGUUGGGGGUGAAAUCCCGGAGCUUAACUCCGGAACUGCCUUCAAAACUGCAAGUCUUGAGGAUGGUAGAGGUGAGUGGAAUUCCGAGUGUAGAGGUGAAAUUCGU
This 275-nucleotide ribosomal RNA is filed under the name uncultured bacterium. RNAcentral's name for it is "partial 16S ribosomal RNA". It matches the Rfam family "Bacterial small subunit ribosomal RNA", at positions 399 to 691 of the family's 1533-position model. The record is from RNAcentral.